Non-coding RNA from Equus caballus (horse), 415 nucleotides. Lineage: Eukaryota; Metazoa; Chordata; Mammalia; Perissodactyla; Equidae. The record is from RefSeq and is a predicted model, not a curated record.
AGGUUGUUGAUUUUUUAAAAGCAUUUGUGUCCUCUACUCCUUGAACAUCAGCUCCUUAAGGACAGGAGACCCUGUCUGUCUGAGGAGUUACAGCCUGCCGCCUACUGAAUUCACAUGGUGGAGUCUUGGUAAAGCUGGAGUCUGAACGCAGAAAGUUCUCAAGUUUUCCAUGCCUGCUCAGGAAAAGGAGCAAAGCAUCAAUUGUGCAGGCUGUAAUAUGUAAAACACAAAGAAAUAUGAAAGGAUCCCUCAGGAACUUUAACUUCCUAUAUUGGUGAAAAAUGCUUCAAAGUUAGCAAAAGACCAACUUCUAGAGCCUUUGGAAUAUUUUUGAAGGCAAGAGCUUAUGUGAUAUCAGAUGCUGUAAAUUCUUAGCUCACGUCUACAACAGUAUGCUUUCAAUAAACGUUUUCUC